RNAcentral lists this ribosomal RNA (702 nucleotides) under Legionella sp. RNAcentral's name for it is "bacterial SSU rRNA". It matches the Rfam family "Bacterial small subunit ribosomal RNA", at positions 1 to 690 of the family's 1533-position model. The record is from RNAcentral. Lineage: Bacteria; Pseudomonadati; Pseudomonadota; Gammaproteobacteria; Legionellales; Legionellaceae.
UUAUCGGAGAGUUUGAUCCUGGCUCAGAACGAACGCUGGCGGCACGCCUCAUACAUGCAAGUCGAGCGAUUAAAGCCCCUUCGGGGGUGUAUAGAGCGGCGAACGGGUGAGUAACAGGUGGAUAAUCUGCCCUCUGGCGGGGGACAACAGUUGGAAACGACUGCUAAUACCGCAUGUGAUUGUGCGCUUAUGGCGUGCAAGGAAAGGCGCUUCACGGCGCCACCAGAGGAUGAGUCCGCCCCCCAUUAGCUAGUUGGUGAGAUAACAGCCCACCAAGGCUUCGAUGGGUAGCCGAGCUGAGAGGUUGAUCGGCCACACUGGAACUGAGACACGGUCCAGACAUCUACGGAUGGCAGCAGUAGGGAAUAUUGCGCAAUGGGCGAAAGCCUGACGCAGCGAUGCCGCGUGAGUGACGAAGGUCUUAGGAUUGUAAAGCUCUUUUCUGAGGGAAGAAUGGUCCGGGCAGGAAAUGGCCUGGGUUUGACGGUACCUCAGGAAUAAGGAACGGCUAACUCCGUGCCAGCAGCCGCGGUAAUACGGAGGUUCCAAGCGUUGUUCGGAAUUACUGGGCGUAAAGGGAGCGCAGGCGGGCCGGUUAGUCUAAAGUGGAAUCCCAGGGCUCAACCCUGGACGUGCUUUGGAUACUGCCGGUCUUGAGUUCGUGAGAGGAAAGUGGAAUUCAGGGUGUAGCGGUGAAAUGCU